UACAGAGGGUGCAAGCGUUGUUCGGAAUUAUUGGGCGUAAAGCGCACGUAGUCGGCUUUGCAAGUCGGGUGUGAAAUCCCCGGGCUCAACCUGGGAACUGCAUCCGAGACUGCAUUGCUAGAGUAUGGGAGAGGGAAGCGGAAUUUCUGGUGUAGCAGUGAAAUGCGUAGAUAUCAGAAGGAACAUCAGUGGCGAAGGCGGCUUCCUGGACCAAUACUGACGAUCAGGUGCGAAAGCGUGGGGAGCAAACAGG
This 253-nucleotide ribosomal RNA is filed under the name uncultured bacterium. RNAcentral describes it as "partial 16S ribosomal RNA". It matches the Rfam family "Bacterial small subunit ribosomal RNA", at positions 524 to 776 of the family's 1533-position model. The record is from RNAcentral.